GGAUGUGAGGGCGAUCUGGCUGCGACAUCUGUCACCCCAUGGAUCGCCAGGGUUGAUUCGGCUGAUCUGGCUGGCUGGGCAGGUGUCCCCUUCCUCCCUCACUGCUCCAUGUGCGUCCCUCCCGAAGCUGCGUGCUCGGUUGAAGAGGACGACCUUCCCCGAUAGAGGAGGACCAUUCUUCAGUCAAGGGUAUACAAGUAGCUGCGCUCCCCUGCUAGAACCUCCAGACAAACUCUCAAGGUCCAUUUGUAGGAGAACAUCAGGUAGUCAAGCUUCCAAGACUCCAGACACAUCCAAAUGAGGCGCUGCAUGUGGCAGUCUGCCUUU
This 327-nucleotide small nuclear RNA is filed under the name Otolemur garnettii (small-eared galago). RNAcentral's name for it is "7SK RNA (ENSOGAG00000022073.2)". It matches the Rfam family "7SK RNA". From Rfam's summary of the family: 7SK was discovered as an abundant small nuclear RNA in the mid-70s but a possible function has only recently been suggested. Two independent studies have found that 7SK RNA binds the CDK9/cyclin T complex (known as elongation factor P-TEFb). P-TEFb activates transcription by phosphorylating the C-terminal domain of RNA polymerase II. Lineage: Eukaryota; Metazoa; Chordata; Mammalia; Primates; Galagidae. The record is from RNAcentral.